Long non-coding RNA from Ornithorhynchus anatinus (platypus), 1221 nucleotides. RefSeq lists it as uncharacterized. The record is from RefSeq and is a predicted model, not a curated record. NCBI's taxonomy places the organism in Eukaryota, Metazoa, Chordata, Mammalia, Monotremata, Ornithorhynchidae. The transcript is spliced from 4 exons.
CUAAUCUUCUUCAUUAUUUUAUGAAAUCUUACAGUGCUCCUUGUGCCACAAAGAGAUACAAUCAAAGGUUAAAUGGAUUCUAAUUUACUUUCUAGGAUAAAGUGAUCUCUGUCAGCAACCGUUAGCAAGGACAAGAACUUACCACGGAUUCUGAUACCGUCGACCAUCAGGCCUCAGCAGAACUGUAAAUUAGACUGGAAUGGCAGAAUGAAGCCUAAGUGGAGCUGCCCACUCAGAGAGGCCACCAGUCUGGGGUCUGUCCUUCCAGCUAAGAGAAUUCACUUGUAAACUCUUCAAGGUGGCUACCACAUUUUUCCAGUGGCCUGUAACUUCUUCGAGGCCAGUACCACAUUUUCCUUGUGGCUUGUAACUUCCCAGUGACUCCAGCCCUGAGCCAGUGAGCCAUUACCUACUCCAGAACAGCACACUAGAUGUUUUGCUGAAUCACUGAAAAUAAGACUCAGAAGAAGCCUCCAGAUCAUUUAACCCAAUCCCCUGCACCAGUGCUAAAGUAUUUAAAUGAUAUAAAUGAGAUGCUCCAAGGGACUGCCUAUUAAUCCUGAAAUUUGGAAAAAUGCAAAAUGGUUCUUUUGGUACAAAAUGGGUUUUAUUCGCAUGUUGAUUGACCCUUGUGGUGAAACUAAAAAUGAAGCAACCCAAAUCACUAACUUUAAAAGUGCAUCUUUUAGCUGCUAAAAGCCAGUUUACUUCCUUUAUCAAUCUUUUGCCUCUCCUUUGUCUUCUACCUCAUUUUUAAAGCCUUUUUCUCCAUGUAGUUUCCUAGCAGGUAUGUUUUUGUAAAGAUGGCAAUCCUGAUCAGCGGAAACCUCUACCUGUUUUUGAGAUCAUUUCUGGUGAUUGGUGCUGAGGGAGAAGAUUCUGGGAAGUACUUGUCACUUGCUGGGAAUGAAAUUGAUUAGGAUCACACACAGCAGGGCCAACAGUUAAGUGUUCCCUUGCCAGGGCUGAGUACCCACUGACUCUCAUCCAGAGGUCCUGCGCCGAAAGUAGGGAGGAGAGAGAAAUGGACAGAAAAAAGUACAGACUAAAAGAGUCCCACGGAGAAAAGCCACUGUGCCUACCCGAACCCAGGGUCAUUUUUCUCACCCCACGCUCUAUGUAGAUCGCUUAGGUUUGCAGAGUCAGGAGCAAAAUCUUGGAGACAGAUGCUUUGUAACAACUGUGAGUGGGAAGGGUUCCAUUUAUGAUUGGUUUUGGACA